UGCUUGGGGAUCUGCCUUAGAGUGGAGGAUAACCAUUGGAAACGAUGGCUAAUACUGCAUAGUAUCUGCGGAUUAAAGGGGGCUUAGGCUCUUGCUUUAAGAUGAACCCAAGUGGGAUUAGCUAGUUGGUGAGGUAAUGGCUCACCAAGGCGACGAUCCCUAGCUGGUCUGAGAGGAUGAUCAGCCACACUGGAACUGAGACACGGUCCAGACUCCUACGGGAGGCAGCAGUGGGGAAUAUUGCACAAUGGGCGAAAGCCUGAUGCAGCCAUGCCGCGUGUGUGAAGAAGGCCCUAGGGU
This 300-nucleotide ribosomal RNA is filed under the name uncultured Vibrionaceae bacterium. RNAcentral describes it as "bacterial SSU rRNA". It matches the Rfam family "Bacterial small subunit ribosomal RNA", at positions 114 to 423 of the family's 1533-position model. The record is from RNAcentral. Lineage: Bacteria; Pseudomonadati; Pseudomonadota; Gammaproteobacteria; Vibrionales; Vibrionaceae.